AGCAGCCGCGGUAAUUCCAGCUCCAAUAACGUAUAUUAAAGUUGCUGCAGUUAAAAAGCUCGUAGUUGAAUUUCGGGACUAAUAUGUCGGUCGUGCCUCGGUACGUACUGGCUUAUUGGUUUCUCCUUUCUGAAGAACCAUGAUGUCAUUUAUUUGGUGUCGUGGGGAAUCAGGACUGUUACUUUGAAAAAUUAGAGUGUUUAAAGCAGGCUCACGCUUGAAUACAUUAGCAUGGAAUAAUGAAAUAGGACGUUUGAUUCUAUUUUGUUGGUUUCUAGGAUCGACGUAAUGAUUAAUAGGGAUAGUUGGGGGCAUUAGUAUUCAAUUGUCAGAGGUGAAAUUCUUGGAUUUAUUGAAGACUAACUACUGCGAAAGCAUUUGCCAAGGAUGUUUUCAUUAAUCAAGAACGAAAGUUAGGGAUCGAAGACGAUCAGAUACCGUCGUAGUCUUAACCAUAAACUAUGCCGACUAGGGAUCGGAUGAUGUUAAUUUUUUAAUGUACUCAUUCGGCGCCUUACGG
Molecule: unclassified non-coding RNA, 520 nt
Filed under: uncultured Glomus
Lineage: Eukaryota; Fungi; Glomeromycota; Glomeromycetes; Glomerales; Glomeraceae
Description: SSU rRNA
Rfam family: Eukaryotic small subunit ribosomal RNA
Source: RNAcentral